AGCACGGAAGUCUCCGCCCCCGGCCUGCUGGGCGGUGGCGACCCAGCGGCCCGCAAGGAUUUGAAACCGUUUGGCGGCGGCGACGGCGGCCGACCUGAAAGCUCGCGUGUAGGGGCGCCGGGUUCUCGUUUGCCAAGUCCUCACUCCCUCACCUCCCAGUUGGAGAUGUUGCUGACUUAUAUGUAAAUGGCCAAAUGGUCAGAUAUAAUGGAUUGGAGACCUAGGGAUUUCAGGAUUUUAAUCUCAGCUUUCUGCUUAAUUUCAUGAUUUGGGAUUGGAUAAUAGAAAUGGGAAGUGAAGAAGAAAAAUGGGAGAAGUUGGAUGCAGAAUUUGAUCACUUUGUGGUGGAUAUGAAACCCUUUGUCCUAAAAUUACCUCAUAGAUCAGAACGGCAGAGGUGUGCUCUUUGGAUUAGAAAAUUGUGUGAGCCUUCAGGCACAGGGACAGGACUGAUGGGCAGGAAGAAUCGGAACCUGUACGCAAAGCUGCUAUUGCAUAUGCUUAAGCAAGGAGUGCUUGAAGGCCCGUUCACACACCGCCCUGAACCAGGGACGCUGAAAACUUUACCUUCGUACAUGUCCAUCUAUUUUGAUGAACCAAAUCCAGCACAAGCAAAAGGUUCAAGCCCAGAGGGAUUACCAGACUGGGUAAUGGGUGAACUAGGGACAAGUGAACACAAAUUAAAUGAAUCAUGGAAACUUUCUUCUGGAGAUGAUAACGCUUUGGUACAGUUGCCAACUGAUAUCCACAGGGAAUGUGUGCAAAAUGGAAAUAGAUGGUGUCAGUUACAGAGCCCUGGGAUUGCAGCGUGUGUGGGGUGUGCAGAGAAUGAAGAGCUGGUGAAGGCUCGUGUGGAGGUUUCUGAAGGUAGGGAGCAGUACACUGGGAAGCUGCAAAUAAAAACGCAGUCCUUGAGUCCUGUUUACAAGGAAGAUGAUCAAAAUGUUACCUCAAAGAUUUGUGAAGUUCAUGUGAGAAAACCUCCUGUAUCUUUGGAUGACAGUGACAUUGAAGCUCGCCUUAAUAGUUGGAAUCUUGGGAUAGAAAAUCCUCGGUACCUGAGACAGACGCCUAUCCCUGUUUCUCUGAUGACCCCCAAAUUCAGCCUGAGAAAAUCCAGCAGUCUUCAUGAAGAUCCUUUUCUCUCUCGAAUGCACGAGAAAGAGUUGGACAUGAAAACAAAAAUGAUGGAAGCUAAAUUUCAUGAAGAAAAGCUUAAGCUGCAGCAGAAACAUGAUGCUGAUGUUCAGAAGAUUUUAGAAAGAAAGAAUAAUGAAAUAGAAGAAUUGAAAACUUUAUACAAAAAGAAGCAAAAUGAAACUGAGGAGACAAUUAGAAAGCUUGAAAAGAAAGUUCAGAUCCUUAUACGUGACUGUCAAGUUAUUAGAGAGACUAAAGAAAACCAGAUUGCAGAGCUAAAAAAGAUAUGUGAACAGAGUACAGAAUCUCUAAAAAAUGAUUGGGAAAAGAAGCUCCACAGUGCAGUAGCAGAAAUGGAAAAGGAAAAGUUUGAUCUUCAAAAGCAACACACUGAAAAUAUUCAAGAAUUGCUUGAGGACACAAAUGUGCGUCUGAAUAAAAUGGAGGGUGAAUACAUGGCACAAACACAGUCUACAAACCAAAUAGUCAAAGAACUGGAGGCCCGUGUCCAGCAGCUGACUGGAGAAGCAGAGAACAGUAAUUUACAGAGGCAGAAAUUAAUUCAAGAAAAGCAGGAACUUGAAAGAUGUUACCAGAUUACAUGUAGUGAAUUGCAAGAAGUGAAGGCAAGGCGCAACAUACUACAUAAAGAGAAAGAUCAUCUUGCAAAUGAGUAUGAGCAAAACAUGAAAUUAUUACAAACCAAAUACAAUGCUGAUAUAACAAUUCUGAAACAAGAACAUGCACUUUCAGCUUCUAAGGCAUCUGGUAUGAUUGAAGAAUUAGAACAGAACAUCUGUCAAUUAAAACAGCAGUUACAGGAUUCAGAACUUCAAAGAAAGCAGCAACUAAGGGAUCAAGAAAACAAAUUUGAAAUGGAAAAAAGUCAUUUAAAACGCACCUAUGAAAAAAAGGUUCAUGACUUACAGAGUGAACUUGAUAAAGAAAAAGAAGAUGCCCAAAAGAAAAUUCUCAAGUUCGAGGAAGUUAUGAAGGAAAAAGACGAGCAGCUGGCUCGUGUGACUGAAGUUCAAAGGUUGCAGGCCCAGCAGGCAGAUGCCGCUUUGGAGGAGUUUAAGCGGCAGGUGGAACUGAACUCAGAGAAAGUCUACGCUGAAAUGAAAGAGCAGAUGGAAAGAGUGGAAGCUGAUUUAACUAGAUCCAAGUCUCUUCGUGAGAAGCAAUCAAAGGAGUUUGUGUGGCAGUUGGAUGACGUCAAACAACGAUAUGAACAGCAGAUAGUAGAGCUGAAGCUGGAGCAUGAACAGGAGAAGACGCACCUAUUACAGCAGCAUAACGCAGAGAGGGGUAGCCUAGUCCGAGACCAUGAACGGGAAAUUGAAAACCUGGAAAAACAGCUUCGCGCUGCCAAUAUGGAGCACGAAAAUCAAAUUCAAGAGUUCAAGAAACGAGAUGCACAGGUUAUUGCUGACAUGGAGGCCCAAGUUCACAAGCUGAGAGAGGAGCUGAUUAAUGUGAACUCACAGCGCAAACAGCAGCUCAUAGAACUUGGACUUCUUCGUGAAGAGGAAAAGCAAAGGACUGCCAGGGACCACGAGACGGCCAUCAACAGAAUGAAGGCUGAGUCCGAGAAGAUGAAACUAGAGCUGAAAAAGACACACGCUGCUGAGACCGAGGUGACACUGGAGAAGGCCAACAGCAGGCUGAAGCAGAUCGAGAAGGAAUACACUCAGAAGCUGGCCAAAUCUUCACAGCUGGAUAAAUGAAGCCAUUUGGUUUCAAGAGCAUCAUAUCUAAGGACUGCAAGCCAGCUCAUCUGAGUAUCUUUACUGUGGUAGUAAACGGGAAGUCACGCGCAUUUUAUGAGUUACCAUGUAGUAGUAGAACAACAACACAAACAAAACAAUAAUUUUUAACCUUCGAAAGGCACUAACCAUAUUGAUUCACUCAGUCCUCAUUCACAGUAACUCUGGAACCAGGAAGGAUUUUUUGGCCUCAUUUUGUCAGUUGAGAAAAUGGGGGCUGAGAUCACGUUACACAAUUUGCUGAUUGACUAAGCCAGGAUCUACCCAGGAUCUGACUUCAAAGUGGAAGUUUUGAACCUUGAUACUACUGGCUUGGCCCAGUCCCUUAUAUUUAUCAUCAUCAUCAUCAUCAUUAUCAUCAUCAUCAUCAUCAUUACUACUACUUGAGGAGAGAAACAGAUAGAGAUCUUCCAUCCCCAGAUCACCCCGCAAAACAACCAGAGCUGUUGUCCCAGGCUGAAGCCAGGAGUGUGGAAUUCAAUCUAGGUCUCUUGUUGGUGGCUGAGGCUCACCCACUUGAGCCAUCACCUGCUGCCUGCCUCCUAGAGUGGACAUUAGCAGGAAGCUGGAGUCGGUAGUGAGCCAAGCACUCCACUGUGGAACGCAGGCAUCCUAAGUGGCACCUUAUGCUGCAACACAUGCCCGCCCCUCCCUUACGUUUUUAAUAUGGCCGAACUUUGGUGCUAGCUAUUGUGAAAUGUCUCCAAUUAUUUCUAAAAUGUGCAUGUUACAUAGUUCUUAUCCUAUUAGGAAAGCAGAAAGUCUUUGUCUAAGUGACGGAUCAUAGGGUUUGUAUAUGAGAUGGGGAUUAUGCCUUGAUUGCCAUCAUUCGAGCCCUUCCUUGAGGAAGGAACAUGGGGAAAUAUUAUUUUUAAUCCACUGAAAAGGAGUAUUAUAAUCAAAAGAAAUCAUAUUACUACAAAAACUAACUCUUAAACCAAAUCAUGAAAAGCCCCUAGCUGGCACAGGUUGCAUCCUGCUUGUUUAGCUGUCUGUUAAAUAAGGGGAGAGGGGGUAGGGGACCGACAGUGAGAUUUAAGAUUGCUAAUAAAAACGCUUAAAUAAUGAGAGUGUAAACAUGAGUAUUUAUCUAAAGGAAUAUAUGAAGAAGCCCGAUUAGGUGACACUAGAGUAAAUUAAAGGUGAAUUAGUGUGGAGGAAAGCCCAAACUUUGGAGCCCUGGAUUUGAAAACUGUGACCUUGAACAAGUUACUGGCCCUCUUUGGAAUUUCGUUUCUUCAUUUGUCAGGUGAGAGAGUGGCACUUGCCUCACAGGAUACAGCUUUAACUGUUGAGCAAAGCAGUGCUAAUAAUGCAUUUAGCAGGUGCCUCAUUACGCACCCAAGCUUUUCAUAAAGCCCCAACAUACAGUCCUAAAAUGGCAAUGGAGGAAGACAGGAGGGAGGGAAGAAUGAAAAAAGACUGGAAAAGGGUUUGCUGGGUGCUCAGGAAUUGAUAAAAUCUCCCUGAAGAAUUUGGAGAGGCCUGGGGUUGCUAACUAUUUUCUGAAGUAGAACCAGGAAGGAGGAAGGGAAGGAAGAAAAGCCAACCAGGAACAGCGAUCAUAUCCUGCAGCCAUUGUCCUACUGUGGAAGGGCAGUGUGACACAAACCAGAGAACAGGGGAGAGCCCCUCCCCCCCAAAGGCGGGCUCUACCCUGACACCGACAGCAUCUUGUCUGCCCAUCUCUGCAUACAGAUAGAUACAUGCACAUAACGUCUAUGUAUUUAUGUCUGUGACCUGGCAUUUGAGGAGCAGUGGUCUACAGUGCCAGUCAGUCCAGAGCCAUGGGUUGACUUUUUCUGUUUCCAAGUGACAGUUUGCUGCAAUCUCUAACUCCUGUCUCACCAAGCUGAUAAGAAUGUUGGAAGCAAAAUUGUUUAAUUUUGAUUAUCAAGUUUUUAAAAAUACCUCUAUCAAAUUAAAAAAAAUAAUAAAAUGCAUGCACAAACCCACUGGUAUCCAGGAAAGAUUCAAGCGAAAUUUGAAAAACAUUUUAAAUAUUGUCCUUCUUUAAGGGAAGCUCCUUAAUCUGUAAGACUUAAUCAAGCUUCUGGGACCUAGUGGACCUUGAACACCAAGCAUUGGUGCUUCCGAGGGCUGCGUCCCCUUCUCACAUCCUCAGUAUUCACCAUGAAGGUGUGUUUGCAUCGUGCCCCCAAAUAGCAUUUCCAUCAGAAUAACAUACUUGUUCCUUUUUGUCUGAGUCUUAUGUAUUAAUACUGCCUUUUCAAUUUAAAUGCAGUUUUUCCCACUGGUCAUUUCUCAAAGAAAGGCAUUGCCAGUCUGCAGAAAUAUCCACAGGUGGAAGUGUGGAGGCCAAGGCUGGAAUGCCAGCUGAGCCUACCCAUUGCCAAGGUGCUGGCUUCCCUGCUGCCCCGUGUGAGCCACCCAGUGUCCAGUGCAGACGAGUGCCUGGAUGUUUGCCUCGUGUCCCACCUGCUCCCCACUUCACGCCCUCUCCAGGGCACCACCCAGCAUGCGGAGGGAGUCCAGGAGCCGUCCUUGCACUUGUCUCAUGAGGAGCUUCGGAGUUCACCUAACCUUCCUAAACAUCGCUUAGCUUGCCUAUUGUGUUUUUUUAAGUUUUAUAAAAAUCUCAAACUGCAGGGUGGAAAUUUGGUGUAGCAGUUUAGACACUGUAGGAAUGCCUGGUUUCAAAUCCCAGAUCCGUUUCUAGUUCCAGCUUCCUGCUCAUGGCCAUGGUGUGAGGCAGCAGUGAUUUCUCAAGUACUCGGGUCCCUGACACCCACCUGGAAACUUGGAUUGAGUGUGGGGCUCCUGGCUUCAGGAUGGCCCAACUUUAGCUGUUGUGGGCAUUUGGCAGAGUGAACCAGUGAAUGGAAGAUUCUCUCUCUCUCUCUCUCUUUCUCCCUCUCUCCCCCCUCCCCCUCCCUCCCUCUCUCUCUGCCUGCCUUUCAAAUAGAUACAUAAAAAUUAUACAGACUCAAACUGCACUGCCAUAUGGAAAACAAUAGAAUGAGUUGAAGGUAAACUGUUAACUUCUAUUUAGAAUCCUGUUAAUUUUAAGACUUUAAGUAAGACCACUAGCAUGUAUGCAAUGCAUUAAUGGCUUAACAGUUAUGAUAACUACUAUAGCUUGCAUGGGUUAGAUUGCUGACAGCACCAGACCAAAAGAGCUUUCCUUUUGUUUCUCAAAGUGUUAAUUUAAUUUUAUUUUUUUAAAAGAUUUAUUUACUUUACUUGAAUGUCAGAGUUACAGAGAGAGAGAAGAGACAGAGACAGAGACAGAGAGAGGUCUCGCAUACUCCCCAGCUGGCUGCAAUGGCUGGAGCUGCGCUGAUCCGAAGCCAGGAGCUAGGAGCCAGGAGCUUCCUCUGGGUGCAGGGGCCCAAUGACUAGGGCCAUCUUCUGCUGCUUCCCAAAGCCAUAGCAGAGAGCCGAAUCAGAAGUAGAGCAGCCAGGUCUCGAACCAGCACCCAUAUGGGAUACCAGCACUGCAGGCGGCGGCUUUACCCGCUACACCACAGCGCCAGCCCUUCAAAGUGUUGAUUUUAAUAUCUGCAUGAAAUGAUGUGAUCCACUUCUUUCUCUGAAGCUAGUACAGGAUCAUAGCAGAGCUUCAGACCACCGUUUCCUCCCUGAAGGAGGAGAACAGCCGGCAGCAGCUUGCUGCAGAACGGCGGCUCCAGGACGCUGUACAAAAGUUUGAAGAUGAGAAGCAGCAGCUGAUUAGAGAUAAU
Molecule: non-coding RNA, 6610 nt
Organism: Oryctolagus cuniculus (rabbit)
Lineage: Eukaryota; Metazoa; Chordata; Mammalia; Lagomorpha; Leporidae
Source: RefSeq, a predicted model, not a curated record